ACAGCAGUCGCCACGGUAAUACGUAGGUGGCAAGCGUUGUCCGGAAUUAUUGGGCGUAAAGGGCUCGCAGGCGGUUUCUUAAGUCUGAUGUGAAAGCCCCCGGCUCAACCGGGGAGGGUCAUUGGAAACUGGGAAACUUGAGUGCAGAAGAGGAGAGUGGAAUUCCACGUGUAGCGGUGAAAUGCGUAGAGAUGUGGAGGAACACCAGUGGCGAAGGCGACUCUCUGGUCUGUAACUGACGCUGAGGAGCGAAAGCGUGGGGAGCGAACAGGAUUAGAUACCCGUGUAGUCCCUGUCUCUUAUAC
RNAcentral lists this ribosomal RNA (305 nucleotides) under uncultured bacterium. Its description in RNAcentral is "partial 16S ribosomal RNA". It matches the Rfam family "Bacterial small subunit ribosomal RNA", at positions 505 to 807 of the family's 1533-position model. The record is from RNAcentral.